This 253-nucleotide ribosomal RNA is filed under the name uncultured bacterium. RNAcentral describes it as "partial 16S ribosomal RNA". It matches the Rfam family "Bacterial small subunit ribosomal RNA", at positions 524 to 776 of the family's 1533-position model. The record is from RNAcentral.
UACGUAGGGUGCGAGCGUUGUCCGGAAUUAUUGGGCGUAAAGAGCGUGUAGGCGGCCAGACAGGUCCGUUGUGAAAACUCGAGGCUCAACCUCGAGACGUCGACGGAAACCGUCUGGCUAGAGUCCGGAAGAGGAGUGUGGAAUUCCUGGUGUAGCGGUGAAAUGCGCAGAUAUCAGGAAGAACGCCUAUGGCGAAGGCAGCACUCUGGGACGGUACUGACGCUGAGACGCGAAAGCGUGGGGAGCGAACAGG